Poecilia reticulata (guppy) is the source of this 165-nucleotide non-coding RNA. The record is from RefSeq and is a predicted model, not a curated record. NCBI's taxonomy places the organism in Eukaryota, Metazoa, Chordata, Actinopteri, Cyprinodontiformes, Poeciliidae.
CGGACGGAGGACGGAUAUGAUGACAAAGUCAUGAAGCCGACUCCACAGAAUGAGUCACAUUUGUGUCAAUCAGACUCUUAAGGAACGUUCUGAUGUCCGUGAUGAGGACAGAGAUGCAACUGUGUCUGCAUCCAGGACCUACUGCCAGUCAUCCGAAUGUAGCUA